GCAAUCAUGACAGUCAUGCGCACAUCAAAACAAAUGGUUCCUGCCAACAGUGUCUGUAUAGUUGUCAGAUUUUCUGUGCGAUGGCUCCAUACAUA
Acomys russatus (golden spiny mouse) is the source of this 95-nucleotide non-coding RNA. Lineage: Eukaryota; Metazoa; Chordata; Mammalia; Rodentia; Muridae. The record is from RefSeq and is a predicted model, not a curated record.